GAGUCGGUGGCGAAGCUGGUUAUCGCAUCCGUCUCACAUUUCUCUGUCACGGAAGGUCCUCAGUUCGAUCCUGGGUCGACUCA
Molecule: non-coding RNA, 83 nt
Organism: Guyanagaster necrorhizus
Lineage: Eukaryota; Fungi; Basidiomycota; Agaricomycetes; Agaricales; Physalacriaceae
Source: the annotation of a RefSeq genome assembly